GAGGCCUCCCCGUUCGCCUCCCAGAGGCCGCCACUUUCUUCAGGGCUAUCAGAUGAAGGCAGCAACGAAAACACCACCACAAGACCAACUUCAGGCUGGAGCUGAUGAUGCCACACAGAAAAUAGACUCUACUUAGAAAUGAAACUCAACUAAAGGUAAAAGUUGUCAGGAACAUCUCCAAGAAAGCCAGAGUCAGCCUCUAAACUUUGCAUCAAGAACGCAAUGGCUUCCCUGAGGGCCCAGGGACGCGUGGCAGCUGUGAGGCAGCCCCUUCUCUGCUGUCGAGGAACUGGACACUUCUCCUGUCCCUUCCCACAAGGUAUAAUAUUAGGCAGAAACCCAAUAUAAAAAGAAAAGCAGAGUUGUUGUAGAUUCAUCGAGGGUUGGCGACCUGGUUCCAAUGAGCCAUCUCCCUGUUCCGACAGGGGCUUCCUGGAGCUCCUGCAACCCCAGGCAUUAGUUCCGGUGCAGUUCUAGGAUCAGAUCAAUUCACUCGACAACAAGAGAAACAAAUGGAGAUUCCUACACAAAGACUUUCAAGCACAAAGAAAUCCUGCUGCCUGUAAAGCGGAGCUGCCUCAGCCCUUGAUGAACGACAGAAAAUCUCACAUUCCAGGAAUUCAGAUGAAGUGAAGUGCUCUCAUGGGGACCAGGCAUGGUUAUGCCAGUCCACUGCCCUGCAAGCCUCAAGGGAAGCCAACUGCCCUUCAGCAAGUCACACCUGCCUUGGUGGAGGCCUUGAUUGGAAGUGCCACACGCUACAUGUCCAGUCCUGAGCGGGAGAAUCGGUGUAGGGACGUUCUGGGGAUGCCAGCUGUGGCCAGAUCAGGUCCAACUACAGAAGAAUAAUGAAGACUCCACCUGAGGGCUGGAAAAACAAAACCUCAAGUGUGAGGCAGCCAACCUGUUACCUCGAGGGACUGUUCCGCAGCACAGCGGGGCCAUGGGAACAGCAGCAGACACCCCGACCUCCUCGCUACCUAUCAACUAUGGCCUGAGUAUGAUAGACUUAUCCAUGGUUUAAACAGAAUAUAUUGUUUUCAACUUUGAAAAUAAGAAUAUGGAAAUCCAGAUGCAGAAAUGUGAGAAGAAAAGAGAGUAAACAGAGUGGAAGGUCAGGUGACCUUGCCUGUCAUGAAUAUGAAGGUCAAGGUGUGUGAAUUGUGAAAUUUCCAAGAGAACCUCACUGAAGCAAAGAAUGAAGAAAGAAUUGCAUUUGGCCCUGGGAGGGUGCAGGGGUGAAUGGUGCAGGAGCUAAAUCUUUAUCAUACCCAGAAAUCAACAGCCACUAUUUGAAAU
This 1299-nucleotide long non-coding RNA is filed under the name Homo sapiens (human). RNAcentral describes it as "novel transcript". The record is from RNAcentral. Lineage: Eukaryota; Metazoa; Chordata; Mammalia; Primates; Hominidae.